CCUACGGGAGGCAGCAGUGGGGAAUAUUGGGCAAUGGAGGCAACUCUGACCCAGCAACGCCGCGUGAGCGAUGAAGGUCUUCGGAUUGUAAAGCUCUUUAAGCGGGGACGUAGAAAGUGACUGUACCCGCAGAAUAAGACUCGGCUAACUACGUGCCAGCAGCAGCGGUAAUACGUAGGAUGCAAGCGUUAUCCGGAAUGACUGGGCGUAAAGGGUGCGUAGGUGGUUUGGUAAGUUGGUAGCGUAAUCCCGGGGCUCAACCUCGGUGCUACUACCAAUACUGGUGAACUUGAGUGCAGGAGAGGUGAAUGGAAUUCGCGGUGUAGCGGUGGAAUGCUUAGAUAUUGGGAAGAACACCGACGGCGAAGGCGAUUCACUGGACUGUAACUGACACUGAGGCACGAAAGCGUGGGGAGCAAACAGGAUUAGAUACCCGGGUAGUC
RNAcentral lists this ribosomal RNA (443 nucleotides) under uncultured bacterium. Its description in RNAcentral is "partial 16S ribosomal RNA". It matches the Rfam family "Bacterial small subunit ribosomal RNA", at positions 338 to 795 of the family's 1533-position model. The record is from RNAcentral.